Long non-coding RNA from Gallus gallus (chicken), 1809 nucleotides. NCBI's taxonomy places the organism in Eukaryota, Metazoa, Chordata, Aves, Galliformes, Phasianidae. The record is from Ensembl.
CAAGGACUGCGCUGGUACUGUAUGCUGUACCGAGCUGGGAGUUCAUGCAUGCUAUAGGAAAUGUGUUCUGCUUGAUUAACCUCAUGCUGACAUCUCAGGCUGAUGGUGGUGAGGCCUUCAUGCUGUCACCAGAAACAAUGUGGUCACACCGAGAUGGGUGACUGUAGCAGGGAGCAGCUCACUGAGCAUCUGUUCGGUGGGUGCUGGAAGACUGGUGGGAAUGGGGAGCAGUGGUGACAUUUGGGCUGCUUAGUGGAAAAUAGGAGGAUGUUCCCAUUUGCCAUCGCUUGAUGGGUGCAGAUUCAAAGGUCUCUCUAAGCUGCUUUGGUUUCAUAAAGAUCAGCUCCCAGGUUAGAAGCAGAAAUAGCUCUGGGAUCUGCGACGUACACUGCAUUUUCUGGCAGGCAGAAAUCAGGAGUUUUUCAUAAAUGUGCAAAAGGAAGCUGGGGCUUAAGGAGACCCUUCUAAUAGCGGGAAGUUUGGAGAUCUAAUUCAGGAAAAAGGAGAAUUUCCAGGUGUGGGAGCAGAGGACCUCUCUCUUUCCAUACUGCUAAUUUCAAGGCAAACACCAUGGACUAAGUUCAGCAACAAGAAACAUGGAAGAGCUGGUCCCUAGCUGGGUACAUCUCUUUGAUAUUACAGAGGUACAGGAUGCUCUAACACCAUCUCACUUCAAACUAGAGACCUGCCAUAGUAUCUUAUCUUCUACUGUCACCCUGACUCCAGUGCCAUAAAGAAACCAAUACUGUUUACUGGCAUACUGCACAGGUAGCUCCAUCUUUCAUGAGCUGAAAUCUGCCCUCUUCUCACUGUAUGAGAAGCUACAAGAUGUCCUUUGGACUCUCACCCAAGCAUGACCAGCUGCACAAGCAAGUCUGUGUUGUAAAGGUAACUGACAUCAGGAACAGAACAACCUCUAGAGAAGUAUUUGGCACAGAACACAUAAAACUAUGCUUUGCCUGGCUACUAUCAUCAGCGAGAAUCUCUGUCACCAUAGACAUAAUAAUCGGAAAGCUAUGACUGCGGCAAAAAUUAGUAAUAACAUCCAAUAUGCUAAGUAAGUUCCUUUUAGUGGUGUACCUGAGUUGUGCAAACAGGGAUAAAAUAAAACUCAUUUUCACCUUUAAAACCAUUCGAAUUUGUUUGCAUAGUAUUCCCGAUGUAUAAAGUAUUUUCAGGCAAUGAGCUUUAUGUUCAUAUAUGACAAAUUAAAGAAGAUUGAAUAACUUCAUCUAAACCACAUGGAGUCCCCUAUACUGAAUUUUCUCACUGAAUGCUCAAGAGCAAAAGUCUGAAUGAAUAGCAGAGAUUUACAGUGUGCCUCUGAGGUCAAGAAUCUUGUUCAGAAUGAACAAUAAAGGGAUCAAAUUCCAAUGGAGAGUGGUCACUCCUGAGCCCUUCUGGCCCGUUUUCCCUUACCAUACAAUGUGAAGGAUUAUUCACAAAAAAAAUACCUCAGCCAAUCUCAGUUCUUUGUCUGACUUAUGCAGAAAGAAGUAGCCUGCAAGGACUCCAGUCAUUUGGGCCUGCACUUGCUAAAUCAACACCUCCAGUUUCACUCAGAAACAGGUGGUCAGCAAGAGUCUCUGAAAAGCAAUCUGUAUAUUCUCUCCAUUAUUGCGGCCAAUUUACAAUAAAAUUAAAAAAAAAAAAAAAAAGCAGCUGAACUUUCCGUAAAGGGUGCAUUUUCAUGUUAGAUUAGGGACUCUCUUGCAAAGUGGAGAAUUAGGGUGCCAGAAACGACUAUGCUGCGAAACUACUGCUGAAGAUGAGAAAUGGGGAUACAUGGAAAAUCUGCUUCUAGCUGAC